RNAcentral lists this long non-coding RNA (493 nucleotides) under Triticum aestivum (bread wheat). RNAcentral's name for it is "long non-coding RNA (TAES_LNC027793)". The record is from RNAcentral. Lineage: Eukaryota; Viridiplantae; Streptophyta; Magnoliopsida; Poales; Poaceae.
UCGUCGCGGCGCGCUACAGGUACAUGUGGCGCUCAGAGUACACUCAACUCAUAAAGUAAUUUUUUAGAGUAUUCCAAACUCCUAAAAGAGGUUCUCAAAAUAAUCCAAACUCCUACAAAACAAUACAUAAAUCAUUUGCUUCAGCAUAUUAUGUGUUCAGUUUGAGAAGAAUUCAAAAUUGUCAUACAAAGUCUUGCAAUUCUUCGUACUCUACUGAGCACAUAAAAUCAGUGAUAUUGUUAGAAGUAUUUUAUUCUCUUUCCUUAGCUAGAAAUUCCAAUCAAAAUCAUCAAAUUCCACUAUGAAUAAAUAUGUUGUGUUGUUUCCUUAAAGCAAAACAGAAUGAUUUAAAUAACAUUCUAUUGGGUGAAAUUCUAGUUCUUGCCUUGCUAUUAUUUGACUUACACUUGUGAACCAAGCAAGGAAGGAAGCUAGCUCAUAGUGUUGGUCUCUUGCAACCAAGGCUAGUGUGCUUGACGAAGGCUCACCAUGU